CGGAGUCGGAAAAACAACAGUUCGCAAACAGUUAUGUUACACUUACAGUAAAACGUAUGUAUGUACGUGCUUUUCGAAACACUUGUAGACUAGACCAAACCAGACCAGACCCUUAUGCUACUCAUGGUUACUCAUUCUUGGACACACAACAAUUGACACUUUUCGGCCAUCGUAUGCCUAGCGGCUGCCCUUGAACGGAAAAACCUUGACAGACACCGAGCGAGAGAAGGAGAGAGAUAUGAGUAGUGCGAGAGCCCGAGAGCGAGAGCGGGCGAGCAGGUCGCUAUUUGAAAAAGAGCCUGCGCAAGAGAGAGACGGCACCACAGCCACCAGCACAGGUAGAAGCAGCAGCCACAGCCACAGCCUCAGAAUUCCAUUCCUAAUCACGUCCUUGACCUUUUCCAUUUUCACUUGUUGUUGGACUGCUGCUGCUGCUGCUGCUGCUGCUGUGGAAAAUCGAUGCCCGCCGCAAAAAGAACUUCUGGCGAUUCGUCCAAAGUCCAUUCCCAUUCCCAGCCACAGGCACAGCUCCAUUUGGUCAUAUUUGGUAUGCAUGGCGGAGCCUUCUAUUAUGUAAACGAGUAAAACUACAUAAAUUAAGGUAAAACCAACCAAGUCAGACCGACUGACGGACAAUUGCCCGGCCGUUGACGUCGGCUGAGCAUAACAGUUUUAUAUUUAGUUUGCCUUUUUACACCUUCACACGCCAACACACACGCACACUGAAACACAGAGAAAACGCAUUAAAAAAAUGUAAAAACCCAGAAGCCAACAAACAGAACAGUGGCGGUGUGGCUCCCCCAUGUAGGGUCAGCAGAGGCAGAGGUCGAGCAUCGGUGACAAGAUCUAUAGCAGGAAACUCCCUGGCUAUGCCCUUGAAAGAGAUGUUCUACUCUGCUAAGCAUUUAAUGGCCGAAAAUACUUGUUAGCCGAGAAGAAAAGCAUCUUCCAACUGAAAAGAAAGCGUGCAACGGAAAGAGAGGGACAUGCCAGAGGGACUGGCAAUGUACGAGUAAGUGUUGUUGCAAGUGUCUCCUCUGUGCCUAGGUGUCUGGGAAGCACCCACCCCCCUCCCUGGCCACGAUUCAAGACGCUAGAGACGAAACAGAGCGUACCCAUGGCUUGCUCAUUAUGCUGGCCAUUCUCAUUACAUGCUGAUGGCUUAGAUAAAUACAUACAUAUAUACAUACAUA
Molecule: long non-coding RNA, 1193 nt
Organism: Drosophila pseudoobscura
Lineage: Eukaryota; Metazoa; Arthropoda; Insecta; Diptera; Drosophilidae
Exons: 2
Source: RefSeq, a predicted model, not a curated record